Molecule: long non-coding RNA, 239 nt
Filed under: Coffea arabica (coffee)
Lineage: Eukaryota; Viridiplantae; Streptophyta; Magnoliopsida; Gentianales; Rubiaceae
Description: long non-coding RNA (CARA_LNC000662)
Source: RNAcentral
AAAAAUGUUUACAUCAAACAUAAUGUUCUCCCAGGUGGCAUAUAUAGUAUAUAUAUAUAUAUAUAUAUAUUUUUUCCUUCAGUGGGGUAUCCAAUUGCAUUGGCAACCGACUAGUCCUCCACUGGGCCCUGACCCCCGCACCACCAAGAAGCCAGAGAUUGUUAAAGAGGGCAGAUUCGACCACACGACCUGGGCCUAAUGAGGUGAUCCCACAGCCAGCCGAUCUGCACCUGGGGUGC